GGUGCCGCCUUGCAGUUUGAUCUCAGACUGCUCUGCUAGCAAUCAGCAAGACUCUGUGGGCGUAGUACCCUCCGAGCCAGGUGCGGGAUAUUAUCUCGUGGUGCACCGUUUUUUAAGCCCGUCGGAAAAGUGCGGUAUUCCGGGUGGGAGUGACCCGAUUUUCCAGGUGCCAUCCGUCACGCCUUUCUUUGACUCAGAAAGGGAACUCCCUGACCCCUUGCGCUUCCCAAGUGAGGCAAUGCCUCCCCUGCUUCGGCUCGUGCAUGGUGCGCGCACCCACUGACCUGCGCCCAUUGUCUGGCCCUCCCUAGUGAGAUGAACCCGGUACCUCAGAUGGAAAUGCUGAAAUCACCUGUCUUCUGUGUCGCUCACGCUGGGAGCUGUAGACCGGAGCUGUUCCUAUUCGGCCAUCUUGGCUCCUCCCGGGUCCUAUUUCUUAAUAGAAGCAGGCUCCUGCUCUGAAACUCUAUUAAUCUGAACCAUUUAUAGCAACAUCAAAAGAGAUGCAAG
Molecule: long non-coding RNA, 510 nt
Filed under: Homo sapiens (human)
Lineage: Eukaryota; Metazoa; Chordata; Mammalia; Primates; Hominidae
Description: HSALNT0142219
Source: RNAcentral